GAUGAACGCUGGCGGCGUGCCUAAUACAUGCAAGUCGAGCGAACAGACGAGGAGUUUGCUCCUCUGACGUUAGCGGCGGACGGGUGAGUAACACGUGGAUAACCUCCCUAUAAGACUGGGAUAACUUCGGGAAACCGGAUCUAAUACCGUAUAAUAUAUUGAACCGUAUGGUUCAAUAGAGAAAGACGGUUUUGCUGUCACUUAUAGAUGCUUCCGCGCCGCUUUGGCUGGUUGGUAGGGUAACGGCUUACAACGGCAACGCUGCGUAGCCGACGGGAGGGGGGGGUCGGCCACCCUGGACGUGGAACACGGUCCAGGCUCCUACGGGAGGAAGCAGAAGGGAAUCUUCCGCAAUGGGCGAAAGCCUGACGGAGCACGGCGGCGUGAGUGAUGAAGGUCUUCGGUUCGUAAAACUCGGUUAUGGGGGAAAAACAGAUGUGGAAGGAAAUAUGCACGUCUUGACGGUACCUAAUCAGAAAGCCACGGCUAACUACGUG
Molecule: ribosomal RNA, 497 nt
Filed under: uncultured bacterium
Lineage: Bacteria
Description: partial 16S ribosomal RNA
Rfam family: Bacterial small subunit ribosomal RNA
Source: RNAcentral